This is a long non-coding RNA of Sinocyclocheilus grahami, 1198 nucleotides long. RefSeq lists it as uncharacterized. The transcript is spliced from 3 exons. The record is from RefSeq and is a predicted model, not a curated record. NCBI's taxonomy places the organism in Eukaryota, Metazoa, Chordata, Actinopteri, Cypriniformes, Cyprinidae.
ACAGUGCUUAUAAAAUCUGACCUGCGGCGACAGAAGGCCAACAGUCAAUCCCAGAGAGAGGUGAUCGCUGACUCAUCCGUACAUCCCCAAGAUGGAAAAUCGUUACCGGUAAAAGAGGUGAAGAUGUAAAGACGGAAACCAUCGGAAUCACACUCUCAGUGUGCAUCACAACUCCAUAUGAACCAUCAUACGCAUAAAUCCUCUUGAACUUCCUACACAGCCAAUAUCCUGAACAAUGACAGCUCAGUUUACAUACUCAAGCACAACCGAAAGUACGUUUUCUAACUUUACAUUGUUCCUUCAGUGCUCCCACGUCACAACAUUCAGUGGGAAUCAUUUGUGAAACACAAGCACAAAAAAUUGCAGGCCGUUACAUUCAAUUCACACAAGUAUGGAUUUAUGAACAAUUCACAUGAACUGCUCAUGUUUCAUGUUGUAAUGUGUAAUUUUCUACGCCAUGUGUAUCAUGAUGUUUGCAUGAUGGUCCGUUAGAGCGGACCUAAACUUUAGUUAUGAGUACUAAUCUAGUAUAAAGUGUCUCUGUGACUGACACAUCUAGAUCUGAUUCAGGAGAUCUCACUCUGUGUUCAGGUUAAUAUGGAAGGUCAAAGUCCUUCAAUGAAACCAUCAAUUCAAUAUAUGGUGCUUUAAAUGUGUGAGCGCCUUGUGAAAGCGCAUCAGUGGUCAGUGGAGAUGUGUGAUGAUACUCACGUCUCAAAUGCAAUACUAAACAACAACGGUGCAGAACACAGGGAAUUAGAACGCAAUUUAUUUUGGGAACAUCUGCAAUGUUUAUGUGUGUUGCAGUGUAAUGUGCGAUUGAUUACGCAGAAUGAAAUCCAAGAUUUUCUCUUACUCAUUUUGGACUGCUGAUUCCAAAAACUGGAUUCGUUUUGCUGAAGCAAAGAAGAGGUUUAAGACGUCUCGCAUUAUCUGUUAAUUACAAACGCAUGAAUCCUGUCUGAGCCACAUUACAACUUUGUUCAAUUCUCAGCCCAUUGUCAUGUGCAUGAGAUUAUUUGAUGCCUAUCCUGAUUUUAAGGUCAGAAUUAUGGAUAGAAGAAAAUGCAAACACGAGUCGGAUGUUUUUUUUUUUUUUGCUUUUCCUGCAUCCACAGAACAUUAUGGAUUUUGUGGGGAAAAAAUAAGAUAUUCAUAAACAUGUGUUUAUGUGAAGUUUAAGAGAUUAAAUGUGACC